Molecule: signal recognition particle RNA, 291 nt
Filed under: Nannospalax galili (Upper Galilee mountains blind mole rat)
Lineage: Eukaryota; Metazoa; Chordata; Mammalia; Rodentia; Spalacidae
Description: Metazoan signal recognition particle RNA (ENSNGAG00000006562.1)
Rfam family: Metazoan signal recognition particle RNA
About the family: The signal recognition particle (SRP) is a universally conserved ribonucleoprotein.
Source: Rfam by way of RNAcentral
GCUGAUAAAGAUAAGCACACCUGUAGUCCCAGUUACUGGAGAGGCUGAGGCAGGAGGAUUGCUUGAGUCCAGGAGUGCUGGGCUGUAGUGUGCUGUGCCUAUUGAGUUUCCACACUAAGUUCAGCAUCAAUAUAGUGACCUCCCAGGAGCAGGGGGAUCACAAGGUUGCCUAAGAUGGGGCAAAUCGGCCCAGGUCAGAAACCCAGCAGGUCAAAGCUCCCGAACUGAUCGGUAAUGGGAUCAUGCCUGUGAAUAGUCACUGCACUCCAGUCUGGGCAGCAUAGCAAGACU